Molecule: ribosomal RNA, 253 nt
Filed under: uncultured bacterium
Lineage: Bacteria
Description: partial 16S ribosomal RNA
Rfam family: Bacterial small subunit ribosomal RNA
Source: RNAcentral
UACGUAGGGUGCAAGCGUUGUCCGGAAUUAUUGGGCGUAAAGAGCUUGUAGGCGGUUUGUCGCGUCUGCUGUGAAAUUUCGGGGCUCAACCCCGAACUUGCAGUGGGUACGGGCAGACUAGAGUGUGGUAGGGGAGACUGGAAUUCCUGGUGUAGCGGUGAAAUGCGCAGAUAUCAGGAGGAACAUCGAUGGCGAAGGCAGGUCUCUGGGCCACUACUGACGCUGAGAAGCGAAAGCGUGGGGAGCGAACAGG